GACGAACCGAGCGAACGUUGUUCGGAAUCACUGGGCUUAAAGGGCGCGUAGGCGGGCAUCCAAGUCUGUGGUGAAAUCCGGCAGCUUAACUGUCGAACUGCCGUGGAUACUGGGUGUCUCGAGGGAGGUAGGGGCGUGCGGAACUAUUGGUGGAGCGGUGAAAUGCGUUGAUAUCAAUAGGAACUCCGGUGGCGAAGGCGGCACGCUGGACCUUUUCUGACGCUGAGGCGCGAAAGCCAGGGGAGCAAACGGG
This 253-nucleotide ribosomal RNA is filed under the name uncultured bacterium. Its description in RNAcentral is "partial 16S ribosomal RNA". It matches the Rfam family "Bacterial small subunit ribosomal RNA", at positions 524 to 776 of the family's 1533-position model. The record is from RNAcentral.